RNAcentral lists this ribosomal RNA (505 nucleotides) under Pseudomonas sp. RNAcentral's name for it is "bacterial SSU rRNA". It matches the Rfam family "Bacterial small subunit ribosomal RNA", at positions 61 to 562 of the family's 1533-position model. The record is from RNAcentral. Lineage: Bacteria; Pseudomonadati; Pseudomonadota; Gammaproteobacteria; Pseudomonadales; Pseudomonadaceae.
GUCGAGCGGAUGAGUGAGCUUGCUCAUGGAUUCAGCGGCGGACGGGUGAGUAAUGCCUAGGAAUCUGCCUGGUAGUGGGGGACAACGUUUCGAAAGGAACGCUAAUACCGCAUACGUCCUACGGGAGAAAGCAGGGGACCUUCGGGCCUUGCGCUAUCAGAUGAGCCUAGGUCGGAUUAGCUAGUUGGUGAGGUAAUGGCUCACCAAGGCUACGAUCCGUAACUGGUCUGAGAGGAUGAUCAGUCACACUGGAACUGAGACACGGUCCAGACUCCUACGGGAGGCAGCAGUGGGGAAUAUUGGACAAUGGGCGAAAGCCUGAUCCAGCCAUGCCGCGUGUGUGAAGAAGGUCUUCGGAUUGUAAAGCACUUUAAGUUGGGAGGAAGGGUUGUAGAUUAAUACUCUGCAAUUUUGACGUUACCGACAGAAUAAGCACCGGCUAACUCUGUGCCAGCAGCCGCGGUAAUACAGAGGGUGCAAGCGUUAAUCGGAAUUACUGGGCGUA